AAUCCUGGCUCAGGAUGAACGCUAGCGACAGGCCUAACACAUGCAAGUCGAGGGGCAGCACAGGUAGCAAUACCGGGUGGCGACCGGCGCACGGGUGAGUAACGCGUAUGCAACUUACCUAUCAGAGGGGGAUAACCCGGCGAAAGUCGGACUAAUACCGCAUGAAGCAGGGGUCCCGCAUGGGGAUAUUUGCUAAAGAUUCAUCGCUGAUAGAUAGGCAUGCGUUCCAUUAGGCAG
RNAcentral lists this ribosomal RNA (237 nucleotides) under uncultured bacterium. RNAcentral's name for it is "partial 16S ribosomal RNA". It matches the Rfam family "Bacterial small subunit ribosomal RNA", at positions 15 to 248 of the family's 1533-position model. The record is from RNAcentral.